This 71-nucleotide transfer RNA is filed under the name Idioscopus sp. 'myrica'. RNAcentral describes it as "tRNA-Gln". Lineage: Eukaryota; Metazoa; Arthropoda; Insecta; Hemiptera; Cicadellidae. The record is from RNAcentral.
UUGUAUAUAAGUGUAAGAUGCACUAUGAUUUUUGAAACCAUAAGAUUAAGUUUAAUUCUUAAAUUUACAAU